UCAUGCAUUAGUAAGUUUAUAUUUUAAAUUCAUUUCAAUUUAAAUAUUUUAUGAAUUAUUUUAACUAGAUUUUUUCGUAUAAAGUCUCAAAUUAGGUCGAAAACCGUCAUUUCAAGAGGCAUUCUUGUCAACUCAUACGCCGUUAAAUGAUAGAGGAAAAACUAUAAUGGUGAGUGAUCAUUUAUUAAUUAUUCAUAAUAUAUUUAUUUUUUCUUAAUUAUUUCAUAUUUGAUUUUCAUAAAGGCCGAAUAUGAAAAUUUGAAUGAAGAACUUCGAAGACAAGAAGACAGUGAUUCUGAUUCUGAUGACGAUAGCGAAGAUGAAAAUUUAUCGUCUCAAGGUUCAACUACAUUUCAUACGAAGCCUCUGUUUAAAAACGAUCAUAUUGGACCUUGGCCGAAAGCAUCAAAGGGAAAGAAAAAUGGGCGCAUUCUGGGAUUUAGAGUUGGCAAUGACUCUAUGUUAUCAAAUAAGAGGAGAAAGAAAAUGAGCAAUGAGG
Molecule: long non-coding RNA, 499 nt
Filed under: Zostera marina
Lineage: Eukaryota; Viridiplantae; Streptophyta; Magnoliopsida; Alismatales; Zosteraceae
Description: long non-coding RNA (ZMAR_LNC005204)
Source: RNAcentral